CCAACACGAAUCCGAAUCCGCGGGUCAAAUUGGUAUCAACUUAUAAAUCACCGCUUCCACCCUUCGCCAACCUCUGCGCGCUCUCUCUCUCUCUCUCCACCACCUAAGCCGUAAUUCGUCCGUGCAUAAGCCAAAACGAAAAACUAAAAUAUGCGAGCCCUCGAAGCGACAAGGAGAUUCUCUCGCGCUCUCUUCACUUCCACUUCUGCUUAUUCGCGCUCCUCACCUUGCUUGUUACCGUCACCCGACUGUCACCGUAACAUCGCCGACGCCAAUGGCGACAAGUGUCUGCUACGCUUCCCUUGGUCCGUCAGUCAACAGCGUGGGGUCAAAGUCAACGCUUCUCAGGUGAGGCCUGGGAAUGUCAUUGAAAAAACAGGGAAGUUUUACCAGGUCAUAGAAGCAGAACAUAAAAUGCGAGGAAGAGGAGGAGCCAUGAUGCAGAUGGAGCUUCGUGAUGUAGAUACUGGAAACAAAGUAAGCUUACGGUUUGGUACAGAAGAGGCUGUUGAAAGGGUAUUUGUUCAGGCAAAGCCUUUCACAUGUUUAUAUACUGAAAGUAAUACUGCAUUCCUAAUUGAUUCUGAUACAUUUGAGCAACUGGAAGUACCUUUGGAGUUGUUUGGAAAGGCUUCAGCAUACCUAAAAGAGGGAAUGAAAGUUUCAUUAGAGUUAUUUGAUGGAAGACCUUUGUCUGCAUCAUUGCCAAAACGUGUUACAUGCGCCAUUAAAGAAAUUCAUGCUUCUACAAAGGGGCCUGCAGUCACACCUCGGUAUGUUCUAAUGAUGCUAUUAGGUCCAUGUAUGCAGCCAGUAAGACCCUAAUAUGAGCCUUCACAAAUACAGGCUUGUUUCCUAACUUAAAACAUACCACAAGGCUCCAGGUAUCAAAGGGCUGUGCUGGAUAAUGGUGUUACCGUUCUCGUACCAUCCUACCUUGAAAUUGGUGAAGAAAUUUUUAUAAAUCCCGAGGACGACUCUUACAUUGGCAGGGCAAAAUAGAACUUGUAAGUGGCUGUGUUAUGAAAGAGAUGUCGCAAAAGCCGUCUGCAUGAAAUACUUAUGAAUUAUUGCUAAUGGCUUGAAUCAAUAAGCCAAAUCAAUAAGCUUAAUUAUUGUAAGAUAUGCCAAGGUUACUUAAAAGAUAAGAAUCUUGAGGAAACGAGCACAAUUUUUGCAGGAAAGGACAUAGUUUUUCAUUGUUUAGUGUUAUCAAUAAAUGCUACUGCUUAGGCAGCAUGAGCCAAUCACUUGUCUUUGUGUUGUAUGUUACAAUUUAGAUAUGUCAAAUUGUUGAAGGUGCUUCUACAUUAUGUUA
This is an RNA transcript of Mangifera indica (mango), 1318 nucleotides long. It is a transcript of the gene named elongation factor P, with no coding region annotated. Lineage: Eukaryota; Viridiplantae; Streptophyta; Magnoliopsida; Sapindales; Anacardiaceae. The transcript is spliced from 12 exons. The record is from RefSeq and is a predicted model, not a curated record.